Molecule: ribosomal RNA, 639 nt
Filed under: uncultured Actinomycetes bacterium
Lineage: Bacteria; Bacillati; Actinomycetota; Actinomycetes
Description: bacterial SSU rRNA
Rfam family: Bacterial small subunit ribosomal RNA
Source: RNAcentral
CGCGGCCUAUCAGCUUGUUGGUGAGGUAACGGCUCACCAAGGCAUCGACGGGUAGCUGGUCUGAGAGGAUGAUCAGCCACACUGGGACUGAGACACGGCCCAGACUCCUACGGGAGGCAGCAGUAGGGAAUCUUGCGCAAUGGGCGAAAGCCUGACGCAGCAACGCCGCGUGGGGGAUGAAUGCCUUCGGGUUGUAAACCCCUUUCAGCAGGGACGAAAUUGACGGUACCUGCAGAAGAAGGUCCGGCCAACUACGUGCCAGCAGCCGCGGUAAUACGUAGGGACCAAGCGUUGUCCGGAAUUAUUGGGCGUAAAGAGCUCGUAGGCGGUUCAGUAAGUCGGGUGUGAAAACUCAAGGCUCAACCUUGAGACGCCACUCGAUACUGCUGUGACUUGAGUCCGGUAGAGGAGUGUGGAAUUCCUGGUGUAGCGGUGAAAUGCGCAGAUAUCAGGAGGAACACCAGCGGCGAAGGCGGCACUCUGGGCCGUAACUGACGCUGAGGAGCGAAAGCGUGGGGAGCGAACAGGAUUAGAUACCCUGGUAGUCCACGCCGUAAACGGUGGGAACUAGAUGUGGGGUCCGUUCCACGGAUUCCGUGUCGCAGCUAACGCAUUAAGUUCCCCGCCUGGGGAGUACGG